GGGCAAACGCCAAUGCAGCCUCUUCUGGGCUUGGGCUGGAACUUGAACUCUGAAGCCUGGGGAGGAGGGAAGGGGCCCAAGUCACCGUGUCUGCACUGCUGUUCCCAGUGCCAUAGCCUGAGCCUGAGGUUAGAGAUGUUUUAUGGCAGGUUUUAAAAUCUCGCAGUGUAGAGGUUCUCCUUAGGGCUAGGGCCUGGAGCUGGCUAACCCCGUCCAACUAGCCCUGCCUGCCAUCUCUGGGAUGGGCUCUGGGGUACAUCAGUAGAACCAGUCUGGGUCUGGAGCAGCGCUUCUCUACCUGGGACAUCCUCAGGGCCAAACAGGUGGUAUUGAAUGUGGCCCACACAACACAUGUUUGGUCCACAAUGGAAACCAGGUUGAGAAGCACUGGCCUGGAGGAGCUGAUUGUGGUAGAAAGAGCAACAGGAAGUUGCAGAGAUGGAGGAAAGACUACUGCAGGGAAGCACUUGAGAGCAGGGCUGAGAGCAGUUUGCUAAGGCAGGGGAGGCCCUGGGAUAUCAGGGGAGUUUGGGCUGUGCCCACGGUAAGGUUUUAGGGAAGGCUUUUGUGUGUGUUUCUGAGCUUUAAGAUGCUAAACCAGACCUCAGGAAGACUGGGGUUCCUGGACUUGUCAAAGCCUCUUUCUUGAGAUUAUGGAGGAGCCAAGAUGGGCAGCUGAGGUGAGAGGCGGCUUGCAGGGCUGCCAGGAGGGGUUACUUGGGAAGAGGCCACUCAUUGAUAAAUCCAUCUCUCAACUUUCUGGCAUUCUUCCAGAUUGGAGACAUCGUGGGAUGUAUCUCAAUCUGGCUGGACGGCAUCUGUGAUCCCAGAGCCAGAAAAGCAGCGCUGAGGGCCACGGCCUUGCUGGCUCGUUCCCACCCCCAGGACGUGGUUCUGAGCUAUGUGGCGCACACGCUGUCAUCGGACAGGCAAUGAGGACCAUUUACGAGGUCCUUUUCCUAUGGGGAUACCGAGAAGCCAUCCUGGAAAUGUAUCCCCAGAUGCUCAUCCCUCCCUUAGGCAAGUGCAGUAUGUGAUGGAUCUGCGCUUGCCAGGAACCCAUAUGCCAGCAAGACGUCCAGCCCCGAGGAGGGUUCCAACUGCCUCAGCCCCCUAA
Molecule: long non-coding RNA, 1117 nt
Filed under: Gopherus agassizii (Agassiz's desert tortoise)
Lineage: Eukaryota; Metazoa; Chordata; Testudines; Testudinidae
Description: lncRNA (ENSGAGG00000004506.1)
Source: RNAcentral